Molecule: transfer RNA, 57 nt
Filed under: Toxocara apodemi
Lineage: Eukaryota; Metazoa; Nematoda; Chromadorea; Rhabditida; Toxocaridae
Description: tRNA-Glu
Source: RNAcentral
GAGAUAAUAUUAUAAAAUUAGUAUAUUUCUUUUUCGAAGAAGAGGUUUUUUAUCUUG